Molecule: transfer RNA, 57 nt
Filed under: Camelus bactrianus (Bactrian camel)
Lineage: Eukaryota; Metazoa; Chordata; Mammalia; Artiodactyla; Camelidae
Also listed under: 2 other names
Rfam family: tRNA
About the family: Transfer RNA (tRNA) molecules are approximately 80 nucleotides in length. Their secondary structure includes four short double-helical elements and three loops (D, anti-codon, and T loops).
Source: Rfam by way of RNAcentral
UAGCUCAGUGGUAGAGCACAUGCUGAGCAUGCAUGAGAUCCUGGGUUCAAUCCCCAG